UUUCCGUAGGUGAACCUGCGGAAGGAUCAUUCAUAAUAAAGUGUUUUAUGGCACUUUUUAAAAAUCCAUAUCCACCUUGUGUGCAAUGUUAGAUCUCGUCAAUCUUGGCGAGGUUUUUAUACAUCAACUCAUUCUUUAACUAAUUUGUCUGAAAAAUAUUACGAAUACUUAAUUCAAAAUACAACUUUCAACAACGGAUCUCUUGGCUCUC
This 211-nucleotide unclassified non-coding RNA is filed under the name plant metagenome. RNAcentral describes it as "partial contains small subunit ribosomal RNA, internal transcribed spacer 1, and 5.8S ribosomal RNA". The record is from RNAcentral.